This 465-nucleotide ribosomal RNA is filed under the name uncultured bacterium. RNAcentral's name for it is "partial 16S ribosomal RNA". It matches the Rfam family "Bacterial small subunit ribosomal RNA", at positions 338 to 795 of the family's 1533-position model. The record is from RNAcentral.
CCUACGGGCGGCAGCAGUAGGGAAUCUUCCACAAUGGGCGAAAGCCUGAUGGAGCAACGCCGCGUGGGUGAAGAAGGUCUUCGGAUCGUAAAACUCUGUUGUUAGAGAAGAAAGUGCGUGAGAGUAACUGUUCACGUUUCGACGGUAUCUAACCAGAAAGCCACGGCUAACUACGUGCCAGCAGCCGCGGUAAUACGUAGGUGGCAAGCGUUAUCCGGAUUUAUUGGGCGUAAAGGGAACGCAGGCGGUCUUUUAAGUCUGAUGUGAAAGCCUUGGGCUUAACCGGAGUAGUGCAUUGGAAACUGGGAGACUUGAGUGCAGAAGAGGAGAGUGGAAGUCCAUGUGUAGCGGUGAAAUGCGUAGAUAUAUGGAAGAACACCAGUGGCGAAGGCGGCUCUCUGGUCUGUAACUGACGCUGAGGUUCGAAAGCGUGGGUAGCAAACAGGAUUAGAUACCCGGGUAGUC